AAUAAGUUAAAAAAUGAUAUGGAAAAUUGAAAUGAACAAAUUUUCUUAGACACGUACUUUCAAAUGGUGUAAUUUAUAUUAUGUAUAUUACAUAUCUUUUAUAUUUCUAAAAUAAAAAAAUUAUUUUAUAAAUAAAAAUUAGAUUAAACAUAUUUUAAACAUAAUUGUUUAUAUAUAAUAAGUUAAGAAAAUGAAAUGAAAAAAAAAACUGAAAUGAAAAAAGGAAUCAUAACGCACAAACCUUAAAUGGUGUAAGCAAUUCAAUUGUUUCCAAUGUAUAACUUGAUGACUUUUAUAUAAAUAUUUUUAAAAUACAUUGAAAAACACCCACUAACUCAAAAACCACACUGCUCCCAC
This 357-nucleotide long non-coding RNA is filed under the name Brassica rapa (field mustard). Its description in RNAcentral is "long non-coding RNA (BRAP_LNC007643)". Lineage: Eukaryota; Viridiplantae; Streptophyta; Magnoliopsida; Brassicales; Brassicaceae. The record is from RNAcentral.